RNAcentral lists this ribosomal RNA (247 nucleotides) under uncultured bacterium. Its description in RNAcentral is "partial small subunit ribosomal RNA". It matches the Rfam family "Bacterial small subunit ribosomal RNA", at positions 26 to 278 of the family's 1533-position model. The record is from RNAcentral.
AGGACGAACGCUGGCGGCGUGCUUAACACAUGCAAGUCGAGCGGAAAGGCCCUUCGGGGUACUCGAGCGGCGAACGGGUGAGUAACACGUGAGCAACCUGCCCUUAGCUCUGGGAUAGCUCCGGGAAACCGGAAUUAAUACCGGAUAUUACACCGGCUGGCAUCGGCUGGUGUGGAAAGAUUUAUCGGCUAAGGAUGGACUCGCGGCCUAUCAGCUUGUUGGUGGGUAGAAGCCUACCAAGGCGACG